Molecule: ribosomal RNA, 468 nt
Filed under: uncultured bacterium
Lineage: Bacteria
Description: partial 16S ribosomal RNA
Rfam family: Bacterial small subunit ribosomal RNA
Source: RNAcentral
GACGAACGCUGGCGGCGUGCUUAACACAUGCAAGUCGAACGGAAAGGCCCUGCUUUUGUGGGGUGCUCGAGUGGCGAACGGGUGAGUAACACGUGAGUAACCUGCCCUUGACUUUGGGAUAACUUCAGGAAACUGGGGCUAAUACCGGAUAGGAGCUCCUGCUGCAUGGUGGGGGUUGGAAAGUUUCGGCGGUUGGGGAUGGACUCGCGGCUUAUCAGCUUGUUGGUGGGGUAGUGGCUUACCAAGGCUUUGACGGGUAGCCGGCCUGAGAGGGUGACCGGCCACAUUGGGACUGAGAUACGGCCCAGACUCCUACGGGAGGCAGCAGUGGGGAAUAUUGCACAAUGGGCGGAAGCCUGAUGCAGCAACGCCGCGUGCGGGAUGACGGCCUUCGGGCUGUAAACCGCUUUCGCCUGUGACGAAGCGUGAGUGGCGGUAAUGGGUAAAGAAGCACCGGCUAACUACGUG